AACGUAGGAGCCUAGCGUUAUCCGAAUUUACUGGGCGUAAAGCGCGUGCAGGCGGCUUUGUAAGUUGGCUGUGAAAUCUCCCGGCUCAACUGGGAGGGGACGGUCAAGACUGCGAGGCUGGAGGCAGGGAGAGGGAGGUGGAAUUCCCGGUGUAGUGGUGAAAUGCGUAGAGAUCGGGAGGAACACCAGUGGCGAAAGCGGCCUCCUGGACCUGACCUGACGCUGAGACGCGAAAGCUAGGGGAGCGAACGGG
Molecule: ribosomal RNA, 253 nt
Filed under: uncultured bacterium
Lineage: Bacteria
Description: partial 16S ribosomal RNA
Rfam family: Bacterial small subunit ribosomal RNA
Source: RNAcentral